GGGUUGUGAGGUUAAGCGACUAAGCGUACACGGUGGAUGCCCUGGCAGUCAGAGGCGAUGAAGGACGUGCUAAUCUGCGAUAAGCGUCGGUAAGGUGAUAUGAACCGUUAUAACCGGCGAUUUCCGAAUGGGGAAACCCAGUGUGUUUCGACACACUAUCAUUAACUGAAUCCAUAGGUUAAUGAGGCGAACCGGGGGAACUGAAACAUCUAAGUACCCCGAGGAAAAGAAAUCAACCGAGAUUCCCCCAGUAGCGGCGAGCGAACGGGGAGCAGCCCAGAGCCUGAAUCAGUGUGUGUGUUAGUGGAAGCGUCUGGAAAGGCGCGCGAUACAGGGUGACAGCCCCGUACACAAAAAUGCACAUGCUGUGAGCUCGAUGAGUAGGGCGGGACACGUGGUAUCCUGUCUGAAUAUGGGGGGACCAUCCUCCAAGGCUAAAUACUCCUGACUGACCGAUAGUGAACCAGUACCGUGAGGGAAAGGCGAAAAGAACCCCGGCGAGGGGAGUGAAAAAGAACCUGAAACCGUGUACGUACAAGCAGUGGGAGCACGCUUAGGCGUGUGACUGCGUACCUUUUGUAUAAUGGGUCAGCGACUUAUAUUCUGUAGCAAGGUUAACCGAAUAGGGGAGCCGAAGGGAAACCGAGUCUUAACUGGGCGUUAAGUUGCAGGGUAUAGACCCGAAACCCGGUGAUCUAGCCAUGGGCAGGUUGAAGGUUGGGUAACACUAACUGGAGGACCGAACCGACUAAUGUUGAAAAAUUAGCGGAUGACUUGUGGCUGGGGGUGAAAGGCCAAUCAAACCGGGAGAUAGCUGGUUCUCCCCGAAAGCUAUUUAGGUAGCGCCUCGUGAAUUCAUCUCCGGGGGUAGAGCACUGUUUCGGCAAGGGGGUCAUCCCGACUUACCAACCCGAUGCAAACUGCGAAUACCGGAGAAUGUUAUCACGGGAGACACACGGCGGGUGCUAACGUCCGUCGUGAAGAGGGAAACAACCCAGACCGCCAGCUAAGGUCCCAAAGUCAUGGUUAAGUGGGAAACGAUGUGGGAAGGCCCAGACAGCCAGGAUGUUGGCUUAGAAGCAGCCAUCAUUUAAAGAAAGCGUAAUAGCUCACUGGUCGAGUCGGCCUGCGCGGAAGAUGUAACGGGGCUAAACCAUGCACCGAAGCUGCGGCAGCGACGCUUAUGCGUUGUUGGGUAGGGGAGCGUUCUGUAAGCCUGCGAAGGUGUGCUGUGAGGCAUGCUGGAGGUAUCAGAAGUGCGAAUGCUGACAUAAGUAACGAUAAAGCGGGUGAAAAGCCCGCUCGCCGGAAGACCAAGGGUUCCUGUCCAACGUUAAUCGGGGCAGGGUGAGUCGACCCCUAAGGCGAGGCCGAAAGGCGUAGUCGAUGGGAAACAGGUUAAUAUUCCUGUACUUGGUGUUACUGCGAAGGGGGGACGGAGAAGGCUAUGUUGGCCGGGCGACGGUUGUCCCGGUUUAAGCGUGUAGGCUGGUUUUCCAGGCAAAUCCGGAAAAUCAAGGCUGAGGCGUGAUGACGAGGCACUACGGUGCUGAAGCAACAAAUGCCCUGCUUCCAGGAAAAGCCUCUAAGCAUCAGGUAACAUCAAAUCGUACCCCAAACCGACACAGGUGGUCAGGUAGAGAAUACCAAGGCGCUUGAGAGAACUCGGGUGAAGGAACUAGGCAAAAUGGUGCCGUAACUUCGGGAGAAGGCACGCUGAUAUGUAGGUGAAGUCCCUCGCGGAUGGAGCUGAAAUCAGUCGAAGAUACCAGCUGGCUGCAACUGUUUAUUAAAAACACAGCACUGUGCAAACACGAAAGUGGACGUAUACGGUGUGACGCCUGCCCGGUGCCGGAAGGUUAAUUGAUGGGGUCAGCGCAAGCGAAGCUCUUGAUCGAAGCCCCGGUAAACGGCGGCCGUAACUAUAACGGUCCUAAGGUAGCGAAAUUCCUUGUCGGGUAAGUUCCGACCUGCACGAAUGGCGUAAUGAUGGCCAGGCUGUCUCCACCCGAGACUCAGUGAAAUUGAACUCGCUGUGAAGAUGCAGUGUACCCGCGGCAAGACGGAAAGACCCCGUGAACCUUUACUAUAGCUUGACACUGAACAUUGAGCCUUGAUGUGUAGGAUAGGUGGGAGGCUUUGAAGUGUGGACGCCAGUCUGCAUGGAGCCGACCUUGAAAUACCACCCUUUAAUGUUUGAUGUUCUAACGUGGACCCGUAAUCCGGGUUGCGGACAGUGUCUGGUGGGUAGUUUGACUGGGGCGGUCUCCUCCUAAAGAGUAACGGAGGAGCACGAAGGUUGGCUAAUCCUGGUCGGACAUCAGGAGGUUAGUGCAAUGGCAUAAGCCAGCUUGACUGCGAGCGUGACGGCGCGAGCAGGUGCGAAAGCAGGUCAUAGUGAUCCGGUGGUUCUGAAUGGAAGGGCCAUCGCUCAACGGAUAAAAGGUACUCCGGGGAUAACAGGCUGAUACCGCCCAAGAGUUCAUAUCGACGGCGGUGUUUGGCACCUCGAUGUCGGCUCAUCACAUCCUGGGGCUGAAGUAGGUCCCAAGGGUAUGGCUGUUCGCCAUUUAAAGUGGUACGCGAGCUGGGUUUAGAACGUCGUGAGACAGUUCGGUCCCUAUCUGCCGUGGGCGCUGGAGAAUUGAGGGGGGCUGCUCCUAGUACGAGAGGACCGGAGUGGACGCAUCACUGGUGUUCGGGUUGUCAUGCCAAUGGCACUGCCCGGUAGCUAAAUGCGGAAGAGAUAAGUGCUGAAAGCAUCUAAGCACGAAACUUGCCCCGAGAUGAGUUCUCCCUGACUCCUUGAGAGUCCUGAAGGAACGUUGAAGACGACGACGUUGAUAGGCCGGGUGUGUAAGCGCAGCGAUGCGUUGAGCUAACCGGUACUAAUGAACCGUGAGGCUUAACCUUACAACGCCGAAG
Molecule: ribosomal RNA, 2925 nt
Filed under: Escherichia coli
Lineage: Bacteria; Pseudomonadati; Pseudomonadota; Gammaproteobacteria; Enterobacterales; Enterobacteriaceae
Description: 23S ribosomal RNA
Rfam family: Bacterial large subunit ribosomal RNA
Source: RNAcentral